Osmia lignaria (orchard mason bee) is the source of this 4467-nucleotide non-coding RNA. NCBI's taxonomy places the organism in Eukaryota, Metazoa, Arthropoda, Insecta, Hymenoptera, Megachilidae. The record is from RefSeq and is a predicted model, not a curated record.
GAUCUGGAAACGGAAACCUUUCUAUCAGUACAUGCUCAACCGUCUCCUCCUUUACCACAAGAUUGGCAGAUACACCGUUAGAUCAAAAUCCAUUUAGGGGACUGAGAUUGAUCCUCUCUAUUUAUUAUUUUAUUUCAUAAACAACACUUGUAUCAUCUUCGUUCAAUAUAGAUGAUACAAGUGUAACUUUGGAACAUAAGAAAUAUUUGAUAAUAAUUUUGUCUUUUCUUUUCAGGAUUAAGAUGAUCAAUCUCUAAACAGAUUAAAAAGGGACGUUUAUGUAAAUAUAGAGGUAUAAUUAUGUGUAUGUAUAAAGAGACAGAAAGCAGCGGCCACACGAAUUACUAGAAGAACUAGGCGGGGCUUCGAUACCCUGCGUAGCAAGGCAAAAUAGUUAAGACACAGAAUUUAAGGAAGCGACAUCGAUGGCACCAUACUUAAAGUACUUUUUACAAGUUAACACAAAAAUAAUUGAAAUUUAUAACUCACCGACAUCACCGCCUCAAACUAUACUUGCAAUGUCACGCAACACCACAUGCACCCGUCGAUGGCCGAAUCUUCCACGCGAUUUCGUUCCUCCGUCUGGUCUUGUUGCUUGGAUAACGGCCCAGAAGAAACGAAAUCGUCGAAUGCUUCAGACACACGAUCAUCGGUUUCGAUGCAGUAAGCGGAUAUGCGAGGCUUUGCUGAAAAGCUCCUCACGAUUCCUCGAUACUCCUUAUUUUCUUUUUAUUUUUUUUUCUCUCUCUCUUAAAAAUAUUCUUAAGCCAACACACGCUUGUUACAGAUACGAAUGAUCGACAAAAAGCUGGUACGAUCAUCGUGUCUAAAACAACAACAGCAAAAGAAAAGAAAAAUAAUUCCACGCAUAUACACCUGGCAUCGUAUGGUGAGCUGUAAUCCAGCGUGACAAAUUGCAGGCUGCGAACUCACAUGCAUUGGCGUAGUCACGUUUUUGAACAAUGCUAUUCAAUCAUUCAUGAUGGUACCUCCCCUGCGUGGAAAGAAACAACCCCCAUCCCCAAAAAAAAAAAAAAGAAAAAAAAAAGAAAACACCCGAGUUUUCUUAAUAAAUACAUGUAGAAAACAUUGAGGGAAUACUUACACGAUACGCCGUGGAGAGAGGUCCCCUAAACCAUUAGGCUGACGGUCAGACACUGUUUAACCUGGCCGAAUAUCCGGUUUAGCGUUUCACUAAAUGCGUCUCUCCGGUACAUUUUAAACAUGCACGCAAUACCACCGCGCUCUGCUGACCAACACAACUCUGUGCACUCCCGGGCAGAGAGAUAACGACGGUUGUUCCACAAAAAAAAUGGACUCUUUUCAUUUUGUUUCUCUUUAAGCAGCUCACAGGUCGACACAUGACCUCCUCAUGAUUCCCCGUUUCACGAGCGAUACGUCUCCCCUCUGCUUUCUAUAUACAAUUGAAAACUUUCUGUCCAACGCGAGUAGAGAAUAAUUCGCUUGCUCGAAGAACCUUCUGUCGGAUAGGGAUUGUUCUUGAUACAGAGUUUAAUCCCGAUGAUUCAGACAAAAGUCGUAUCGAUCGUGUCGCAAGAAUCAUUCAGAAAUAUAGACAUUGUAAGAGAAUAGAGAGAGAGAGUGAGAGGGGGUGGAGAGAAAGUCGACAGUAUGAAGAGAAGAAAAGAAGGAUCUUUUGAUGAGUGACUCUAUAUGAGAAUGCGACAGACCUUGAUACGCUAUUUGAAGAUCAUCAAAAGAAAAGUUAACGUUUCUUUGCCUCUUUAUUAUUGUCAAUUCAGUUCAAUUGAUCAAUAUCCAUGAAUUUGUUUUGACUUUCAAACUGUUACAAUGUAAUAGAUUGCUCUAGCGGGCGUUCUUGUAUCGAAGCAUCUUCCACGAGAAGUUUAUUUUAUCAGAACAGACUCCAGGCUUUUAAGAGAAACUGCUAAUCAAAUUAUAGGGUGAAAAUUGGGUCGAUCGAACGUUUCUGGUAUCAUGUUUCAUACACACAUACAAGUACACACAAACAAUAGAGGAAACCAUUAGUCAACGAUAGUUUGUUGAUGGAAAACGUUCGAUCAACGCUAUGGAAAUAGCUCGUGAAGUCUGCUAUCUCUCAAGAUCAUCAGUUCGUUUAGAAACUUUCUUUGUAAUUGAACGAUGGUACAUGUAAAUGAUUAGAAACGUCUGCUUAGAAAAAAAUUUGUAAGUAUUAAACGUGGUAAGAUCAUGAUGCAUGGAACAAUAGUAACGUGCCUACAAACACGACGUGGAUCGUGCAAGAAAACCAGAAGAUUGUUCAUUUCCAAAUUCUAAUUAGUUACAUGGUUGAUCAACUAAAUUUGUACUUUGUACUACUUUCACCUUUAGUGUUUGAACCGUAGAUGAAAAUAUUUAACAUAGGAAAACGAACCACGUCGUACUGUAAAUGCAAUAAAAAAAGUAUUACUACUUGCUUACACGUAAGCAGAAUUGGCCGAAGGAUCAGCAAGUCCAAUUAAGUAGAAAAUGUUGCCUUUGAAAAUCGAGCAGCAAAUGCUACUGAUACAGCAAAUUUCAAUAACUUGUGAAAACGAAAAUAUUGCCUCUGAAACUACACCUCGUGCCCUUUUCAUUCAGCCUUGCGAUCAAGAAUCUUAUUUCGAUGAAAAAUAACUAGCUUAUCCAGAAAAGAAGUCUCAAUUCAAUUUCUCUUUAUUAAGAUAGAAUUUUAAGGCAGUAACAAUAAUUUUAAAAGAAUUUUUUCCAUUGAAACAAGAAAGACUUGUAAAUGAUUCCUUUUUUUUUUUUUCUUUCAGAGAGAUAGUGGCCUCAUUUGGAUCAAUCGAUAAGCAGUUGUACAUUCUCGACAUCAAUGUUCUUCUAGCGAGCCGUUUUAAACCUCAAAUCUAUUUGUUAUUGUAUAACACUUGUGUAGGUAUGUAUGUCAUCAUGCACGUAGUACUAGGUGAUCAGUGAAGUGCUCGAUCUACCUUGUGUAUGCUACUAAUUGUAAACUACUGACUUGAGGUCAACUCAGUGAGAACGUAGUGCUACGUCAUAAGUAUGCUAAUUAAUAAAUUGCAGUGUAUCGUGUACUGUCCAAGUAAACGUUACGCGAAGGAAUUUAUAUGUAAUCAAUUUCUAAUUGAAUUUAAUUCAACAGUGAGGACAAAGAAUCGACUCGCAUGAAACAUCAUCGGUUGUCGAGAUUCGUGAAGAAUAUAAAAUAAAGAACAAGAUGUAACUGGGGGGACAGAGAAGCGAACGAGCAAAAGCUCUAGGCUCAAGUGUAAAUGUGGUCCGUGUUUGUAAUGUGUAUGAGUAACAGGAAGAAAAGAUAAGUUUGUACAUUUUGUACAUUGCAGACUAGCAAGAAAAAAAAGGGGACAGAGAAUUACAUAGAACUGUAACUGAAUAGUAGAGCAAGAAGAUAAAAACCAAGUCUCUAGUCUUUUCAUGUACACUUUAUGUUUUACCAACAAAUUUGUACUUCUAAUUAUAAACGAACAUUGUUAUAAAAAAAAAUGAAAAAACUAGAGAUAAACAAAUAUCAUAGAAAAAGAAGAGAAACAGUGUAAAGACAGAAGAAGGAAGCAUUUUUGCAGCAAAGAGGACUGAUUGCGAACGUUAUCACACAAAGAGCAAGUAAAAAAGCUUUAACAGUGAAAUGUAAAACAGAAUAGAUUAGAGUAAAGGUAAAAAGAAAAAUCAAUAGACAGACAAAAACUCUGUACGUAUGUGUGUCUGUUGUGCUUGCAUGUGUUUGUAUAAGUGACGUCUAUUUAGUAUACAUUGAGUAACAAACAGAUAGAUUAAGAAUAGGCAGACAGACAGACGGACAGACGGACAGACAGACAGACAGACAUAGUAAAAGAUUAGAAUUAGCGAAAGUGAGAAAGAUAGAGCAGAGAGGAGCGCUUACAGCUUGGUCUGUCGAACUCUUGCUGUAGGGUACUGGUAUCAAACGUUCCUGCAACUCGCCACCUAUUACCUUCAAGAGCAAAGGAUAAUAUCAUGGUUAUAACUGAACGCAACGAGCAGUACGCGCUUAGCAGUACACCACUUCUCGAUAAUCAGUUUAAUUAAAUUCGUUUUCUUUAAAUAUUUGUCCGAAAUUUUUAACAACACCGUUACUAUACCUUUUCGGCACCUUUUAACUAAUGAUACUUGGUCUCCUUUGUCAAUCUAUUUCUUAACUGUACUGCUCUAAUUAUAAACAAUUUCAUUGACAUAGAUCACUUUGUGUAAAAGCAAUAUUUCAUAAAGCUAAAAAGUGCCUGAAUAUCCAUAAUCACCAAAAGAAGAAACUGUACAUUAAAACUAGAAACCCUCCAUAAUAUGUAUUAUAAGAUUAUAUUCAUGUGAGAUUAGAUGCAUGUAAGUCAGCGAAAUUCGAUUGUUAUGAAUUGUGUGGAGAAAAUGAAAGUAAAAAAAAAAAACAAAUUAACAGAGAUUCAUAUAAGCAGAAACCGAGAAUAGCUUUGUAACAUGCAACGCAAGAUAAUAACAUUUUCGAAAUUU